RNAcentral lists this ribosomal RNA (93 nucleotides) under Eriocheir sinensis (Chinese mitten crab). Its description in RNAcentral is "partial 5.8S ribosomal RNA". Lineage: Eukaryota; Metazoa; Arthropoda; Malacostraca; Decapoda; Varunidae. The record is from RNAcentral.
UGUGAUCGCAGAUACCAGAUACAUCGACAAGUCGAACGCACAUUGCGGCGGCGGCACUCUCAUGUGCUGCCGUCACUCCUACACGAGGGUCGG